RNAcentral lists this ribosomal RNA (110 nucleotides) under uncultured bacterium. RNAcentral describes it as "partial 16S ribosomal RNA". It matches the Rfam family "Bacterial small subunit ribosomal RNA", at positions 1360 to 1482 of the family's 1533-position model. The record is from RNAcentral.
CGGUGAAUACGUUCCCGGGUCUUGUACACACCGCCCGUCAAACCAUGAAAGUCGGGAGCACCCGAAGUCCUCACUUGUUGAGGCCUAAGGUGAGCUCGGUGAUUGGGGUU